Molecule: ribosomal RNA, 254 nt
Filed under: uncultured bacterium
Lineage: Bacteria
Description: partial 16S ribosomal RNA
Rfam family: Bacterial small subunit ribosomal RNA
Source: RNAcentral
UACGUAGGGCGCAAGCGUUGUCCGGAAUUAUUGGGCGUAAAGAGCUCGUAGGCGGCUUGUCACGUCGGGUGUGAAAGCCCGGGGCUUAACCCCGGGUCUGCAUUCGAUACGGGCAGGCUAGAGUGUGGUAGGGGAGAUCGGAAUUCCUGGUGUAGCGGUGAAAUGCGCAGAUAUCAGGAGGAACACCGGUGGCGAAGGCGGCUCCUGGACCCAAUACUGACACUGAGGAGCGAAAGCCAGGGAGGGCAAACGGG